CAAAACUGGAAAGUCUAACAAAGCGAACAUGGCAACUCUGGCGCUCAGUCUCACGUCAUAUAUAGUCGAGCCCAGCCACGACUCCUGCUAAGGGAAGAAAAUCACUAUAGCCUCUUCAGGAUUUUAGUGAUGUUCAAGAUGCCAGCGACGCACGUGAUCGUGAUCCUUCUGAUGGGGAUGUUAACACUGGUCGCUGUGGCAGACUCCCUCGUGCUGUGCCCACAGUUUCCAUCCUGCUGCUACCCUCGAGACCGCUGUCACGCACUCUGUCCCUCCUGCAGGGAAGCGAGGUUUUUCCGGAACGGCGUUCGCCUCUUUCCCAAGAACCCCAGAGGUUGCUCGAUCGGAGGAACCUUCAUCAAUCCCGACCCUUUUGCUUUUCCCGAUUCUCCCAUAUUUCCCAGUCCUCCUAUAUGCAUAUGAGAGUCUGGCUCUGAAUUCUUACUUAGUCUAGUCAAUAACUUGUAAUAUCUAUUUCAAAUGACCCACAUUCCUCCCUCCCUCAAAGAUUUAUGAAUGCAUUGAUUGUUCAACUGCUCUUUCGGUCAAAGGCGACUGAGAUGGAAAGGAGCACAUGCAAGGGAAGUCCCUUUGUAGACUUUAAAGACAGCCCAUCGGGGAUUGCUUUAAAGCUUGCAAUGGAAUAUUUUUACAUUUUCAGAUAAUCCUGAAUUAGCCACUGUUAUUUCAGCAAGAUAAUUUGUUGAAUAAAGAACAUUCAACGAUAAA
RNAcentral lists this long non-coding RNA (729 nucleotides) under Penaeus japonicus. RNAcentral's name for it is "uncharacterized LOC122244841". The record is from RNAcentral. Lineage: Eukaryota; Metazoa; Arthropoda; Malacostraca; Decapoda; Penaeidae.